GCUAGUUAUCCUAGUGUAUAAAGAGUUGAAAAAAAUCAACAAAGUAAAAGAAGUUCAUGGGAAAGCAGGCAAAUCAUAUGAACAGAGCUUUCACAGAAAUGGACAAAUAGAUGGCUCUCAAACACAAACCUGCAUGUCUACAUGAAAAUUGCAAGUUAAAAUUACACUAUGCUAUGUUUUCAUCUAUCAAGUUGGCAGUGAUCAAAAAGGUUUAUGACUCAGGGUGUUGGCAGGGAUCUGUGGAAAACCAUUGUCUUAUGUAAGUGGUGGGAGUGUAAGUCAGUUUAGCAGUACCUUUCUGUUUUAAACAUGCACACACCCUUUGACCUAGUAAUUCCCUUUUUAAGAAUUUAUACUAUAAACAUGUUUACUUACAUGCAAUGUAAUGAGCUGUGAGGUUAUUUGUUACAGCAUUGUUUAUAGUAACAAAGAUUGGAAAACUACCUAAAUGUUCAUCCAUACGGGGCUAAUUCAUUAAACCAAUAUUUAUAAUAUUUUCAACUAUAAAAGAAUUUGGAAAUUCUUUGCAUGUUAAUAUUGGAAGAUAUACUAUAUAUUAAAAAGGGAAAAACUAGGUGUAAAACAAGCAAAUAAUUUAUCUUUUUUUGAAGGGUUUAAAUAAUCUCUAGGUCUGUGAAUAUACCAUACACACAUAUAUGUUCAUUGAUACUGACAAAAAACCCUGAUAAAACCAGUUGCUUUUGAGGAGGGAAGCUAGGUGCCUGGGAGCAGGGCAAGGAGAGAGUUUUUGUUGUAUCUGAUGUAGUUUUUGUUGUAGCUAGUGUUUAACACUUUUUGAUUUUUGAUCCAUGUGAGUAUAUUAUCUACCCACAAAGGAAGACAAUCAGAAAAGAAGGACAGAGCGAUGGAGUGAGGAAGAAAAAUUUUAAAAAGGAAGGAAUUUGCCUUUAGGAACUUGUACUGGCAGAAGAGGGGAGAUUUAUUUAUAUGAUUUGUGAGCAUUUGUAUAUUUUAUUUUGAUUUAAGGAAAAUGUCAAUUAUGAAGGCCAUUGUAUUUGCCAAGAUACAACAGAGUAUUUACAUCACUGGUUCUCAGUGCCCGACAUUUUCCUAAAGAUUUGCCAAGGAUGAUGUGAAAUUCUGUGUGCUACCUUCCACACAUAAGAAACCACAUCCAAAUGCAAGAGACUCAAGUUGACAUUAUUGUGGUUCUAAUCUUGGCUAUGCUGUACUAUAUUAAAAGAAGUAGAUCUUGGCAAACUGGGUAUUUUCAACAUGAUUUAAUAACAAAUUUAGUUGGAACAUCUUGCAGGUCAUCAGGACAAACCAGUGUGACAACAUCGUAGCUGAGAACAGCUAAUAUAUACUGUCAUUAUCACUUUUAAGCAAGAAUACUGGAGUGGGUUACCAGGCCCUCCUCCAGGGGAUCUUCCUGACCCAGGGAUCGAACCCCAGUCUCUUAUAUCUCCUGUAUUGGCAGGUGGGUUCUUUACCACUAGUGCCACCUGGGAAGCCCCAAACUGCACAUAUUUCAAGUAUAAUCUUUGAUGAGCUUUGACAUAUGUAUGUACCUGUGAAACCAUCACCAUUGAGAGUGAAUACACCUGUCACCCCCAGAAUGCCUCAUGUCUCUUGGCAAUUCCCUGCCCCUCCC
Long non-coding RNA from Bos taurus (domestic cattle), 1615 nucleotides. The record is from Ensembl. NCBI's taxonomy places the organism in Eukaryota, Metazoa, Chordata, Mammalia, Artiodactyla, Bovidae.